CUCCCACCAAGCAGCACCUCCUUAACUUUCUUCCACCUUCCAGUGGCAACAUAGGCUGGGGACCAAGCCUUCAACACGCAGACCUUCAGGGUCUGACAUGCUGCUCAAGACAAGCCAGUAAAUGAGGCGUGCAUGGGGCUUCUGUUUUCAGAAGUUGAGAUUUAAGUCAAACAGGAAGCAAACGCUUUGGAUUUAGGAAUCCUGUGACAUUUGUGAUGUUGGCCAUCAUGGGUGAAACUGUAGAGCUGCGAGAGGCCAUUGUGAGCUGUGGUUGGCAAGGCCUGUCGAGAGAGAGAGAGAGAGACGGAGAGAGGAAUCCAUAUAGGUUCAAAAGCUCCCUGUCUCAAAAUGAGUGCAGAGACUCACAGUCCACUGGAAGGAAGCCCCAUGAGUCACCUCUCUUGACCGCUCCCCAGCUUCUAGGAAAACAAAAGAGAAACCCGGCUUGGACCUUACUGCCAUUACUACCACCAGUUCUGUCCACUUGGAACCUCCCCAAGUAUACUAUCCUUGCCAGUAACCUAGCCCCAGUCUCUCCAGGCACUUGGCCUUCCACCAAGCUGCACGCUUGGAUCUCUCCCAGCUGUACUGUGCCUACAGCAGGCAGUUCCCUCUUCUGGCUCUGCCUUUAUGGAACACUCCCAAGUGUCCUAUCCUUAUUUAUAAAAGUGAGCCUAGUGUACAGGAUGCUGUGCU
Molecule: long non-coding RNA, 696 nt
Organism: Chinchilla lanigera (long-tailed chinchilla)
Lineage: Eukaryota; Metazoa; Chordata; Mammalia; Rodentia; Chinchillidae
Exons: 4
Source: RefSeq, a predicted model, not a curated record